CAGGAAGCCCUUGGCCCUGGGUUUCCCGGGAGGACAGUCAUUAAACAUGGAUUCAGCCACACAGCUGGUAGAGCGUUGGGGGCAGGGACCAGGUUCCAGGAGCUGCAACCCCAGCCCUUCUCAGGCCAGAUCCUGAUCCCUGGCCUUCCCUGCAUAUUUCUGAUCUCUCUCACCCUUUUUCAGGGCUCCACGCUGGCCGGGAGGAUGAAAGGCCCCAGCUGGGGGCUCCUUGCCACCAGCGCUGGGUCCUAAGAGCUGCCAUCCAGGCUGGGUGAGUGUCCCCUGCCUUUCUCUGUCCCAGCACUCUUUGGCUUCUCCCAUAUUUUUUCAGCCCUUAUCUCCUCCCAUCUUGUGCCUCUGCCAACAUCUUCACAUCUUGAUUCUGGGUAGGUUUAAGCCCCUUCCUGUAGCCAAAAAGGUGUAUACUAUGGUGGGGGUGGGAGGGAGCUGUUGAGAUGUUAUAGAGCUGGUGUUAUCUUAUGCAAAGAAUCUAUUCUAAAAAUAAAAUUUCCUUGUUUUACAUUUAAUUUGGCAUAUAACAAAUUCAGUGUCCAGCCCCUAAUGCCCUGGCCCUAUGACAUAAUUUAAAUCCCUUGUUUCUUGCUCUUUGGUGCCCAGGGGUCUCUGAUCAUACCUCCUCCCCCACCUCAUCUUACUGAGUUGGACAAACCAAAAACACCCCUUCUGGGCCUCUCUAUAUUUCAUGUAUUCAUGCCAGUCUUUCAUCCUUGCCCCUUACAGCCGCCCGGAUGGCGACCCCAGCCUCGGCCCCAGACACACGGGCUCUGGUGGCCGACUUUGUAGGCUAUAAGCUGAGGCAGAAGGGUUAUGUCUGUGGAGCUGGCCCUGGGGAGGGCCCAGCAGCUGAUCCACUGCACCAAGCCAUGCGGGCAGCUGGAGAUGAGUUCGAGACCCGCUUCCGGCGCACCUUCUCUGAUCUGGCAGCUCAGCUGCAUGUGACCCCGGGUUCAGCUCAGCAACGCUUCACCCAGGUCUCUGACGAACUUUUCCAAGGGGGUCCCAACUGGGGUCGUCUUGUGGCCUUCUUUGUCUUUGGGGCUGCCCUGUGUGCUGAGAGUGUCAACAAAGAGAUGGAGCCACUGGUGGGACAAGUGCAGGAGUGGAUGGUGGCCUACCUGGAGACGCGGCUGGCUGACUGGAUCCACAGCAGUGGGGGCUGGGUAAGAAGUUUCUCAAAUGCUGCUCUGCACAUCCCUCUGCAAAGCUGUUCUCCAGGGGGAAUAUGGGGGCUCUGAUUGGAGGCUGGGACAGCUGUGCUGGGAAGGAGGCAUGGGGCUGAAUUCUCCUAUUUAGGUGGAGUCAGACUGAGGUUCCCUCACCGAGCAUCACAUUGGACUCUGUACUCCAGGGCUGCCAUACAGUUAUCACUGCAUGGGCUUAUGGUCCCAAGCAAAGGACAGAAUACACAGUACCCAAGAAGUGCCUGCAGGGAAAGGUGUUACACCUGAGUAUAUGGCACGAGAGGUGGGGAGGAUCAGGGAUGGGUGGUGGUCAGGCAAGCCUUGGCAAAGGAUGCCAGUUCUAAGCAGAAUUUUUCAUCAAGGAAAGGAUGAGGCAGUGAGUGCAAGUGAGCCAGGCACUGGGGCAGAGGGGCUGCACAUGGGGGGAUCAGAGGGCUUGCAGUUGGUAGAGCUUUGGCUGGAGAGGAGCUGGGUAUGGGAUAGUGCUCGCAGUGGAUGGAACUGGAACUCUUCCUCUCCUCUUCUCUCCACUCUUUCCUCUCCUGAUAUCCCUUUCUCCUUCUUUCUCUCCUACUUCCCUUCUCUCCCACAGGCGGAGUUCACAGCUCUAUACGGGGACGGGGCCCUGGAGGAGGCACGGCGUCUGCGGGAGGGGAACUGGGCAUCAGUGAGGACAGUGCUGACGGGGGCCGUGGCACUGGGGGCCCUGGUAACUGUAGGGGCCUUUUUUGCUAGCAAGUGAGAAAGUUCAGGGCCAGGUGGGGCUAGGUGUGGCUGGGGGCCAGGAGAGCAGGAACAGAGAACAAGAAGUGAAGUGAAUGGUUGGGCAUGGAACAGGGAAGGGGAGAGGUAGCAUGUGAGGGAACCAAGUGUGCCAGGCAGGUGAUUGGAAGAGUGAGCUACAGUUAUUAAGGAGUUUUAAGAAAAUCAGAGGACCAGGAGAUGGAGUCAUUCCAGGGUUUGGGGGGAGGUGGGAGGGAUCAUGCCUAUAGGUAUGGGCACAUGAAACUACCCAGAGAUGAAUUUGCAGCGCUGAGGAAGGUGGACUUGCAUAAGGAGUUGUGUCUCCCCUGGAUAAGUGGGUUUUGGGGAACUAGAAGGCAUAUCCCUUUGGAAUGGAAGCUUAGGGUUCUCAGGUGAUUGGGAGAGGUGGCUGUGGCUGUGGGCUGCUUGGACACAAGUGUGCAUGUGCACGGGUACUCGUGUGCAUGCUGGGCUGUUUGUCUAAUCUGGAGGUGGUUCAGAUUCUUCAAGGAGAAAACAUUCCCUUUUGCAGUGGCAAGAACAAGGGACAGUUCUCUGCCCCUCCUCCCAAACCCUCUUUUCCCUUCCCCUUGUCCAGAUGCCUCAAGGCUGAAGGAGAAACACUGUAUCCAGACGGAGGGCUCUGGCACUUCUCAGCAGAAAGUUGUUGGUAGGGCUUUGGAGAGAAAGCAAUUCUGCAGCUGGCCUUGUUCCUUCAUUACCCAUUUUCCUGUGCAUCAUGAACUUCCUGCUGCCUCCUGGGCUCUGACAGAAGUGCAGGGCUCUGGAGCAUGGGCAGGUGAAGGCUUCUUCAGUAGCUGGAUAUGCCUGCCACCCUCCCCUCCCACUGGGGCACAAUGGUGCCUAAUAGCUCUGGGACCUCUGUACCCAAACUGAAACUCUAAAUUGGGGCUCAAUUUUCCUUUUGAGGAUGUAGACAUAAAUGCUGAUCUAGAAUAUAGUCUGGGUCCCACACUGUUUCUCAGUGAGACUGUUGAUUCCUUGAAAAGACCAUUCUAGCUUGAGCCCUGUGGGGUGAGGGUGACAGGUACUCUAUGACUGGGCCUAUUCUGUGUUGUGGGCUUUGGUGCUGCUUUAUUAGGGGCAGGUGUAUGGGUUUGAGAGUACCUACCACGAUCUGGAAGCAUUUAUAUUUCAUUGAAGCCACGCUGUUUGCAUGGGUGUUGUUUGUCUGUACCUCAGAGUCUGAGGAUGCUAACUUUAGAACUCACAGUCCUCUAGAACAGAUUCAGGCUAUAGCUUUUUCUUUUAAAGAAGAAAUGAUUCACUCCAGAUGCAUGUCCUGAGCCAGACCUCACUGCUGCACUUUCCAAGGUGCUAAAAUUUGCUGCUCUCCAAUGCUGACUUCAUUCACAGUGCUCUAGAACCCUGCCCAUAAUCCUGAGCACUGAUCAGUUUAGCUAGACAUGGUUGACUCUUCUUGGAGAUUUUUACUUGGUCCCAGAAUAUGGCAACAUGGAUGUGUUUGUUAGAAAGUGGGACCAAAUUGGCCUCAGGUGUUUAGUCCAGACUUUUGCUUUUGAGAGAGGGCUGCACUUUUUAAUGGUCUCUAUGGGGGAGGUGGUAGACUGCAUAUGCCACUUGGUCUGUUGUGAGUAUGCUGAUAUUAGAAACUCAGAGCUGGUCUAUGGCAGGCAGUUGGGGUGGGGGGUCUGACUUGCUCAGGACUAACUAGGCCAGUGGUUUUCAAACUGCUUGGCAGAGCCCCAAAGUAUCCUAGGGGUUGCCUCAGGAGUCCUUGGGGAGAUGAAGGGGAUGGGGGCUGAGCAGGCUGGGCAACUUGCCCUCAAACAGAACAGCUCCUCUUGUAGCUGUCUUACAUACCGGGGUUCAGGGUAAGAUUUUAUUUGCAUUAAGGGUUUUGCUGCUGAAAAAUAAAAGUUGGAAAACCACUGACUAGACCAUCAGCUCCAAAUUGGAGCCUGUGCUCCCCAAGGUUUGGGGCAGACUCUUCACUCUACCCACUACCACAAGAUACUUAUCUGUGUUAGCAUUCCUGGGGGGCUUUAGCAAACUGGGGCAGCAGGGACCAUGAUCAGGUUACCAAAGUGCCCCAUUCUGAGGCCUUCACACCUGGGUGGAAGGAGAGGCUUUUUUAUGAAAGGGUAAAGGGCUUGGUCUGGAUUCCCAAAAGCAGAGCUUGGAUGAGAUCACAGUGGGCAGUUUUGACCUGUUUUGCCCUUCUUAGUUUGAGGAGCAGUGGAAACCCCAGAGACUCUUCUGUCAGGGAAAACUAGGGACUCUCUUCUAGAGCCAUAUAGUUCCUUGGGAUUAGCUCUUGGCCAAGAAGGCUGAGUAUGGCUCCCAGUUUUUAAAUUCAUUUAUUUUUUUUUAAUGAGGAAAAUAAAUGUAAUGGCCAUUUUUCAAAGAUUAAAUAGGUGGAGAGGGUGUUUCUUGCUCUCCAGAGCCCAAAGGGACAAAUAGGGACUUUGCUUAGGCCAAGGAAGGACUGGAAGUAGGGCAACUGGGUCCUGCGAUUAUUAAUUGUACUCCCCACUUAUUGUAGGGCAUACAUACACUAUUUUACUUUUUUAAAAUCAUAAAACGGCAGGAGAACAGAUUUGGUUAGUUUAGAAGAAAAGAAAAAGCUCUAUAAAUAUAAAUAUAUAUUCCUGUAUUUUUAUUUAAUAAUUUAUAAAUAUCAAGUUCAUUUGACUUUUAUUUUUGUGUAAUAUGUAAUGGUCGUAUUAAAAAAAUAAAUAAAGCCCAGAAGUUUAAUGAGAAGGACUGAACAGGGUUUUGUGACUUUAUACUGUAUAACUGGGGUCAGAACAUUCCUCGAUCCAAUCAUCUGUUCGUGAUAUUGCUAAGGGCAAGAAUUAGAGUUAUAGGGUUUUGGGAAACUGUUGAGAUUAAAAAAAAAAAAAUCAGAGUUGUUCUACCAUCUUCCUCACCCCACCCCUAUUCUGGUCAAGUACCCAAAGCCAAGAACUCCAUCUAUCCCAACCCAAGCUUCAAGAGGGUGUAGGUAUAUGGUACUUUGGGACCGCCACAAACAAAAAAUCAAAACAAAGAAAACCUCCCUAAAAUCUUUAUGCAAAAUCAACUCCCCAGCUAUUGUUUGGCCUCAAAUCAGAAGUGUGUGAUAAUGAUCCUUUCUCACUGAUGCCUACUUCAGAUUUAGAAUAUAUCUAUCAGAAAUGGAGCUCCUGCUUUCUUGUCUAGUCCCCAGAGAUAUUUGGUUUCAGCCAUUUCACUGCAAACUGCUAAUUGGAUGGAAUCUCCAGGAUUAUUCAGUCCAUUCCCCUCUGUACCUCUAGUUAGGACCACAUCAGAAUCAUUUCUGACAGGAACCGUGAUUUUAAUUUUAAAUUUCAAAUGGAAAUUUCUGAUCUUUCUAUAUCCCAGUGCAAUAAAUUGAUGUUUGGGUUUAUGUGUUAAAUUGUGAGAAAUAAUUGCUUAGAGGAAUCUAGUAUUGCCUUUCUACUCUCUCCCUAUAGGAAAAUCUACAAAAGAAGCUGUAGGAAAAUCAGAGAGUAGCCUGGUGAAUACAUACUAAGAAAAAGGAAAUUAGAUAUUCUUAAUAUCAUCAGGUAUGAUAGCUAGUGCUUCUAUCUGUGCUGCAGUGUGUUUUAUAUUUACCUAGUUCCAAAUAAUUUUGAAACAUUUUAAUAUACAAAAGAAAAAACAAAGAGAAAAUAAAAUUAUUUUUAAGUAUGGGUAAAGGGAAAAUUGAAAUAUUAUAGUGAAUUUAAGUAAAAGGAAAAUUAAUACACAGAAGAACAUCCUAUAAGUAGUAUUCCCAAAUACAAAAGCCAGGCUAUGAAUUUGGCUCUCAGCUUGGCAGCCAAAGCAAACUGAAAAAUAUAAUGAGGUUCACAUUCCUUUUAGGACUUAAAAACCAAUCAGUAGGGCUGGGGUUGUGGCUCAAGUGGUAGAGUGCUCACCUAGCAUGGGUGAGGUACUGGGUUCGAUCCUCAGCACCACAUAAAAAUAAAAUAAAGAUAUUGUAUCCAACUUAAAAAAAAAAAUCAGUUACUCAAGAAGAGCAAAAAGUUCUGUGAUUUUUCCAAGAAUACAACUGGUGAUAUGGUUGACACCAUUCUUUAUAAUACCUAACAGCAAAUAUGAUGUUGAAUUCUAUACCACUAUUUCCUCUAGAAACACAAACAGGGAUUUAGAAGGUCUAUCAGGCUCAUAACAGUUUAGCCACAUAUGCUGCUUUAUGAUGGUCUGAUUUAGUUAGGGUUAAACUUCAGUCUAUCCAAAGGACAGAUGGACUGUGUUUCCUUCAGACAGUUCUCCAUAAGUGCUAUUUCUCCAAAUGGCACUUCAGUUAAAGUCAAGCAACAUUUAGUUAUAAUUUUUAGCAAAUGGAUUAACUGUAGAUAUUCUGUUAUCACUUAAUAGUAAGUAGGUCCUUUGAAAACUUAAAAGACUGCCUUAAAUGUGAACAUAGGUGAAAUAUAUAAAUAUAUUAACUUUUAAAACUCAACCAGAAAACAUAAUAGAGUGCUAUGCAGUUGUUUUUUCAUUCAUCAUUCAUUCACACAGAGCAAAUGUUUAAGCAUCUUCUGUGUGGGAAGCACAGUUCUAGGCACUGAGGUAAAGUAAACAGACAGACUCAGAUCUCUACCUGCAUGUUGCUAACAUUCUAGGGAAGGAAUAAAAAAUGAACAAAAUUCCAUAAUAUUUUAGAAGGUGAUCAAUUCUAUAAAGAAAAAUAAUUGAAGGAUGAUGGAAAUAUGUUUGUAGAUAUUCUUACACUUUAAUUAAUAAAAUUUCAAUCUUAAUUAAUUUUAAUUUAGAAAUUAAAAUACUAGAGAUUAAACCCAGAGGCACUUUACCAUUGAGAUACCUCCGUAAUUCUUUUUAUUUUUUAUUUUGAAACAGAGUCUCACUAGGUUACCCAGUCUGUCCUCAAACUUGCAAUCCUCUUGCCUCAGCCUCUGAAUAGAUGGGAUUAUAGGUGUGUGCCACUGGGCCUAGCUAGAUUUUAAUUUUAAAGAGUGGUCAGACAAGCCCCUAUUUUCUAAAGGGAUAAUUUUUAAGUAAAAACAUGAAAAAUAAAAUUAGAGAAAUAUAUUAUUGAAAUGGAAAGAUGUUUCUGUAUUUUAUUGCAUAAAAAAGAGUAUCUGUGGACUGGGAUUGUGGUUCAAUGGUAGAGCAUUUGCCUAGCACGUGCAAGGUGUUGGGUUCGAUCCUCAUCACCACUUAAAAAUAAAUAAAUAAAUAAAGACUAUCUGUUAGAAAAUAACAUCAUAUGAUAUGAUCCUUUUUUUUUCUUUUUUGUAGUGCUGGGGAUUGAACCCAGGGCCUUGUGCAUGCGAGGCAAGCACUCUACCAGCUGAGUUAUAUCCCUAGCCCACUGAUCCCAUUUUGGAAAAAUAUAUGUGUAUGUAUGUGCCUCUUUGUAUUUAUAGUUUGAACAUUUUAGGAAGAGUAUAUGUUAAGAUAUCAGUAGUGAUUAUCUUUGGGUGGCAGAUUUUAUGAGUGAUUUUUGUUCUUUUUGCUAUCAGUAUUUUCUGAUGUUUUGAUGAUGAACAUACACAUAUGGUGCAUUAAAGCUAGUAUUUCAGUUUCAAAGUUUUAAAAAAGUUAACCAGUCAGAAUGGAAAUUAAGCAGUCCUGCAUAGGUUCCUUCACAUUUAAAUGGACAGCCCCCAACUAUCAAGGACAGAGCUAGGGAGUUGAGAUAUGAAGACCAUACCAUGGUAGAAGAUAAUUGGGAACUGCUAUAAAAGAGAGGUAAGUAAAAAUAAAGGUUUCAAAGUUCUGUUAGCAAUGUCCAAUAGAAAUAAGAUACAAGCCACAGAUGUAGUUUUCUGUGAUCUACUAACCUCAUUAAAACUACAAAAAAGAAACAGGUAAAACUAAUUGUAAUAGUAUUUUAUUUAGCCCAUGUAUUAAAAAUAUUAUAAUUCCAAUAUUAAUAUUAAAUAACUAUUAAUAAGUUAUUUCAUAUACUCUUUUUCAUACAAAGUUAUAAUAUUUUGGUAUAGUUUACAUUUUCAGCACAUCUCACCUACACAUUUCAAUUGCUCCAUAGCCACAUAUGACUAGUGACUACCAUAUUAAACAAUGUUAUUCUAGAUCAUAGAUUAUUAUAGUCUGUGAAAAUUUCAAAGCAAAUAUUAAAAGUAGGUAUGAGACUACCCAGAAACCAAAUAUUUAUGUUAUCUACUGACAAAACUUUUCCCUUUUGAACAGAACUAGAGAUAUCUUCACCCAUUUUUACCAUUUAAUUAUCCUUUUCUCAACUCCACUGACCUCUCCUUCUAUUAACACAUUUUUUUCCCCCUCUUCUGGAUGGGGCACUGGAAUUUCAGUUUUUUCCAAAACUAUCAUCCUUUAUUUAUAGCUUAUAACUUAAGGAGAAGAAUGCUCAUAAUGAUGAAACUCUUAACAUUACAUAUGAAUUCUUAAAAAUUUAUUUCAGAGAAAAACUCCUUGAUAGUCUCUUCAUCAACAUGAGGCAAAAUAUUAAAUAGGUUCAUUCAUUCAGUUAACAUUUAUAUAGUACAGAAUGAUAGGCAAAGGGAAUACAAAUAUAAUUAAGAUAUCCCUUUUACCACUUAGAAUCUCAUAGGGAAAGAGAAAUCACAUUCAAAUAUCCUUUUUUUAAAUUGAUUUUUUCAUACACAUGUUUUUAGUUGUUGAUGGACCUUUAUUUUAUACAUUUAUUUAUAGGUGGUGCUGAGAAUUGAACCCAGUUCCUCACACAUGCUAGGCAAGCACUCUACCAUUGAGCCACAACUCCAGCCCUCAAAUAUCCUUUUCAAUGUGUUUGUUUCUUUGAUAAAGUAAUCAUGCUUAUUAGAAAAAGAGUGCAAGUUGGAGCAAUUUUUUAAAAUUAUGUGUUAAUUUUGAAAAAUCAUAACGGAAAAUUAUAAAGCAGAAAAUUAGCUGGGUGUGGCGAUGCAUGCAUGUAAUCCUAGUGGCAGGAAAGUCACAAAUUCAAAGACAGCCGCAGCAAUUGAACAAGGCUCUAAGCAACUUAGCAAGACCUCGUCUCAAAAUAAAUGAAGAAAAGAGCUGGGGAUGUGGCUCAGUGGGUGAGUGCUGCUGGGUUCAAUCCUUGGUUCCAAAAAAAUAAAACAAAACGAAGAAAAUUAAUCAUAAUUCUACUACCAGAGAGAACUACUACUAACAUUUUGGUUUAUUUCUUUCCAGUCUCUUAUCUGUGGUUUUGUGAUCAUACUGCACAUAUAAUUUUGUAUAUAAUUCUGCUUACUAUUAUAUUGCAAGCAUUUUUCCUUGUCAUUAAAACAUUUUCAAGGCCUAAUGACUAUAUAAAAUUACAUA
Molecule: long non-coding RNA, 9212 nt
Filed under: Marmota monax (woodchuck)
Lineage: Eukaryota; Metazoa; Chordata; Mammalia; Rodentia; Sciuridae
Source: RNAcentral